UGCUUGACACUCGCUACUCCUGCGUUGCUUGUGCAGGUGAAACAGAUAACGAGCCGAAAUCAUAUUAUCAACCAUGGCACGAAUAACCACCGUUCACCGACUUCGUUAACAAUCUUCGGCCGUCGAUCAUUUCGAAAAAUUCAAACGGAUACCUGUUAUCGCGCCCUCUACCUUAUCUAUGACACCUGCUGGAUAAGAGAGAAAUCGGACAACAUAGAAAUUUCUUUCUAUCGACGAAACGUAAAGGGAAACGAGAUGGAAGUAUACGUCUCUUGUACAGCUCGUUUAUUGGGAAACCUAAAGAGACCGUUAAACGAGCUGGGCGGGCUUUGAUUUUAAUCGAAGGUUAUGCCGCCGGCAAUAAUCGGCAGUUAGCCGAGCACCAGUCUCCGAUGAGGCUGGGGUUUGCUGAUAACAGACUUAGCAGGGGUGGCAAGUGGCGCAGCAAGGGGUGUGGAGGAGGGUUAAAACCCCCUCCGGUAACAGCCAACCAUGUUACGAAUCUCUGGUCGGCGUCACGGCUACAUUGCUAGAAGAGCGGAUCAGGAGGGCCAGGUGGAAGGAGGAACGUGUAUCGAUGCCGGCUGGGAUAAUCGAUUGAUCGCCUUCUUAAUUAGCGGCCGGGGUAUUUAGAGUGCCCAUUCAAUUACACAGUUGCGUAAUCUGCUUACGCAGCCUCCAUCACCGAGCUUCCUCUAGCCAGAGCUAUCCCCGUUUCACGUCACGUGGACUGUAUCACGGUGCUCGUCGCCACUCAGAAAUUGGAUUCGAUGCUGUUCCAGCUUUGACGAGAGACUCCGAUUAACGGAGAAUCACGAGCAACGGCGUAAAGUUUCGUUCGAUUCUGCAACUAACCGCCUCUCGAGAAGCAAGACUCUCUGAGUUGGUGGAAACGACCGUUUUAGUCCUCGAUAACAACAACGAAAUUCAUUCGCUUUUCGAUCGUACCAAUCUAUAGUUCGACAAAGCCCGACGUCCUCUACUUUCGCAAACGAAUGGACAGAGGGAUGGCACACGAAAACAGUGAACAUGAACGACGCGACGAGACGCGUCGCGACGCUUGCCAACACCCGGACCAGGGGUUCGUCGCCAACCACUCCGGACUGUACCAGCCAGUUUCGUCGUUCAACGCUUUUUGCUGUCGCGAAAGUUAACGAGUCGUGAGACGGAAGAACGACGUGAGGAAACACGAUGAGGGCACAGCGAAAUCAACGACGUCUAAACCUUCUAAAUAUCGUAGGAGUUGGAUAAAAAUACCUCGAGAUUCGUCUUCGAAUUUGAAAAGAUUGGUCGAUUACGAUAAGAGAUUAAGUAAAUUUUCUAACAAAUAUUUAAUAUUUUUUAAGAUAAAACGAAUCUCGUAGUCAUUCGUAGAUAUAACUAAGAGAGGUACACGUGAUAGAAUCUCGAUGAGAAAUGAAUAUCGUCGGAGAACAGUUUUUCCGUUGUAAUGAAUUCUUGUUCACUUUUCUGGACCACAAACCUUGCGAAAAAGAUUAUUCGUGCAAGAGACAAAACUUGUCUCUUGGAUGCAAGGUAAGGGUAAAAGAAACCAAAACGUUGGAUCGUUCGAAUUCUUUACACCCGGCUAUACACCGAAAAUGUAAUAAAUUUCUUGGUCGGCGCUAUGAAUCUUCAUCCCCCGGUAUUGCAGCGGUGCUUUUCCCGCGAAUCGAGCAAGGGUGUAUUGAGUGUCUGGCCGAGUUGUCCUCGCGUACCUUCAUCCUACUUUCUCUUCUUUCCGCCAGAAGGACAUAGAGGUUGAUACGUCUGACCAGAUGGAAUUUUUCCACUUUAUUUUCCUGGUCUUGCGCACGAUAUCAAAUUCCAUUGCCUCCUUUCCCCCUCUCUUUCUCCGUCACUACUCUUUGCCUGGCGGUCUCGCACGCUGUAUUUCACAUAGACGUUCGUCCUUGAUCUUCUCUGCCUCUCUAUCCGACCAUUUCUCCGUCUCUGCCUCGCACGCUUCGCUACCAGCAAGGAUAUUCAGUUCUCUGUCGUCAGUUGCUCUCUUUUGUGAGCAGAACGGAAGACAAGACAAAUACGGAAAACGAAGAGCCGGGAGGAGUACACGACGACACUGCUUCCGGAAUAACGCGAUUAUAUCGAAGUCGUGGCACCAGCCGUGCGCCCAGAAAUCGAUACCUAUCGGCGGAGAAGUAUGAAGUGCGUUUAAAUUUGUCGGAAGUCAUAAAUCGCAACCGAAAUAUAUUACCCUUUCGUACAACCAGUUCCUGUGAAACUUUUAACCGAAUACCACGACACUUAGCCUUUGCACUUUUAAUGCGCCACGGAACGAACCACGUCGCGAAACUCGUCCAAAUUGUCCAGUCAAGAUAUUGAACGAUAAAAAAGGAAAAUAGCUGAGGACCGUAUAUAUCCUAUCGAGCCGCACAUGUAUAUGGCGUAGGAGACGAAAUGGCUGAUUCUUCUUAAAAAAAAGAAAUAAAAAAUUUAAUAUGAAAUUUCCUUGCCGUGGCUAACGUGGAAUCAAUUCCUUACCGAGUAUAUUACGAUUUUCACCCCAUCUUGUAGACGUUAUAGACGUAAUCGUGUGCUUUUGAAUUGUAUUAUAUGGUUUUCGAUCAAUGGAAGAUGGAGAAAUAGCAAGAGUACGACGAUUCCCGCGCAACGAAUCAAACACUUUAGAACCGAGACGUUGUAAAUCAAUAAUCCAUUGAACAGAAAGGUAGCGCGAAUAAGUUUAACGAAAGUCUCACGCGCGGCUCUCGAGGAUUCGCUUCCGCGCUAUCCCCGCGUGACAGAUAAAGCGGAACGACUACUCGCAAACUCUCUAAUCAAAGAGCGUUCUAUCAAGUUUGUUCUAUGCACUUGAUUACGUAGAAUGCGAGACGGUAACGUUGUUGCCGGUGUCUGAAUCGCGAGGUAUCGAGGUACGACUUUAAUUAAGUCAGAUUUAUGGAGUAAAUAUCACGGAUAAGGUACGUGUAUAUAUACACCACUGUCGACGAGGAAACUCAGCCACGAUUGGAUUCUCCAUAAUUUUGCGUUAAACUUCCUAACGACCGUGAAGUCGAGUGGACAUUAAUUACAUCAGACGAAGACUAUCGAUGUCUCAGCAAAAGGAUGUCAUCUUCUGAACGCGAAACUGUUGCUAGCGUUUCCCAAUAAAAAUCAUAAUAAUAAUAAUAACGACGAUAAAGGAAAAUUACUUGAAUUAAUCAAGAACGCGGUAACGAUUUUCUCGUAAUCGAUGUUUCCAGAAAAUUGAUACUCGUCAUCGGUUAUUGGAAAAGCCAAGUGUAUUUGCAGGUCCAGCACUCUUCUCGUGCCAAGUUUCAGAUUGGAAACCCACCGCGGUUAUUAGUUAUACAAGUAGUUUCCAACAUCUCUAGGGAGCGGUUCUCGGGGUUAAAGCGAGGCUUGAUUAGGCGCGGCAACUUGUGUUUCCAUCCUGACUCCUUACACAAACUUAUACCAUAUUAAAUUGCGCUUAAGUCAAGCACGUGCUCGAAGGUCACAGUUCGUAGAACAACGAAGGAAGGUUAUGAAUCGAGAAGGUAAACGAGAAAGAAAGAGAAAGAGAGAGAGAGAGAGAGCAGAAGAUGAAGGAAGAUAGGAACGCGAAUCGUAGGAAACGCAACUACAGGCCGUAAAGAUACGAGGUGCUAACGUGUCAAAUGAGAAGAAACUUGGAGGAAUUUAAUAUGCCGGUCCGGAUGUAGUAGAAACGCCACAUCACAUCACGCGGGACCAUGCGAUUCUACAAGGGAGAAAGGGGUUUAAACCUAACCGGAUGAACGAACGGCGGAGUAUGCGGAAAGAUAGAAUGAGAUAUGGUAGCUUAAUUCUGUUACAAAGUUACGCGACUUUCUGGAACUGUCCUCCCAGGACCUAAUUAUGCGGCUGUCUCCGAAGAGAAUUCUGCGAAUCUACUGGUUCAACGUAAAUAUCGUACGCUAACUAACAUGCGGGAGAUUUACGCGUGUCAAGCCAAACCUGACCUGCUUUCUUCGCUUUCAUGGCCAUGCGUGAAGCAGAAUUAACGAGAAACUACGCCAAGUACACCGGAGCUCGAGAAGUUCGAACUUCCCCGUACGAAGUUUACAAGGAAACAGUAAAACCAAGUAUUCCAGUGCCAUACGUUAUGUUAAUUCGUAAAUGACCCGUAGAAAUUCCGAUAUAGGAGUAAAACGAUACGAAAGCGAUUUAACGAUAGUCGCGGCUGCGUGCUACCGGCGAUCGAGUUCCGAACUUGGAGGGAAACACAGGAAUGUAUUUGACCGUAUUAGCUAGAGAGGAAUGUUUGUCAGAAGCAAACGAGCGAAACCUGUAAUUAUGUUUGGCGUCGAUUCCUUAAGUACACACAGUCGGAUUCGCUACAGAUCCUGCGUCCGUCAAACGAACGUUAUAUACUGCUCGAGCCUAAGGGUGGACCGCUGAGUCCACCAACAACAACACGAAUAUAGACGAGUGGAAAUUAAUUUCGAUACCGAGCGAUCACGGAUCCGAAAUAAUAAAAAU
Long non-coding RNA from Bombus impatiens (common eastern bumble bee), 4485 nucleotides. RefSeq lists it as uncharacterized. The transcript is spliced from 3 exons. The record is from RefSeq and is a predicted model, not a curated record. NCBI's taxonomy places the organism in Eukaryota, Metazoa, Arthropoda, Insecta, Hymenoptera, Apidae.